Molecule: ribosomal RNA, 253 nt
Filed under: uncultured bacterium
Lineage: Bacteria
Description: partial 16S ribosomal RNA
Rfam family: Bacterial small subunit ribosomal RNA
Source: RNAcentral
UACGUAGGUGACAAGCGUUGUCCGGAUUUACUGGGCGUAAAGAGCGCGUAGGCGGUCUGAUAAGUCAGGUGUGAAAUCCCCCGGCUCAACCGAGGAACUGCACCUGAUACUGUUGGGCUUGAGUGCAGGAGGGGAGAGCGGAAUUCCUGGUGGAGCGGUGAAAUGCGUAGAUAUCAGGAAGAACACCGAUGGCGAAGGCAGCUCUCUGGGACGGUACUGACGCUGAGACGCGAAAGCGUGGGGAGCGAACAGG